Molecule: long non-coding RNA, 656 nt
Organism: Chenopodium quinoa (quinoa)
Lineage: Eukaryota; Viridiplantae; Streptophyta; Magnoliopsida; Caryophyllales; Amaranthaceae
Exons: 2
Source: RefSeq, a predicted model, not a curated record
UCUUUUUCACUUCUCUCUUCCUCCAAAUUCUCUGUGAUCUGAGGCGAUUUUCUUGGUUUCCGUCACGAUUUCUUCGCUUUUGUUCAUCAAAUUCUAGUGUGUUUUCGUUAAGCUAUUUUGAUUUACUAGCUCGAAAAGGUCUAUGGGGAGUAGUGACAGAUAACGUAGGAUAUGUACUGGCUUCUACUUGUCUAAAGAUAGAAGGAGUCUUCGAUGUGGAGGUGGUUGAAGCUCUGGGUGCAAGACAUGCAUUACAAGUAGCAUUUGAUGCAGGCCUUCAAAGAUUAGUACUCGAAACAGACUGCCUGAAGCUUUUCACUCAUUUGAGUAAAAAGAUUGUUGAGCCUACAAUUUUUGGUCUGAUCGUGAAGGAUAUAUUAGCUAUUUCAUCCUUAGGUGCUACUGUUAAAUACUCCCAUGUUAGAAAACAGGGCAAUACAGUUGCUCACAUACGGCCAAGCUUAGCAAUCAUUCACUGAAAUGCGGGUUUGGCUAGAAGAGGCACAUGUUGAGAUUAUGGGCUUUGUAAUAUCUAAUUAUGCUGUUUUGAUGAAUUAAUAAACACUAUUGAGCUCCAUAUAUUUUUUUCUUGUAACCAUAUGAAUGUCAGCUAUCAUGUAACCAUAUGAAUGUCAGUUACCGGGUUUAUAUGCUCA